GCUAUCUGCAGUCGAGCGACAGACGAGGAGCUUGCUCCUCUGACGUUAGCGGCGGACGGGUGAGUAACACGUGGAUAACCUACCUAUAAGACUGGGAUAACUUCGGGAAACCGGAGCUAAUACCGGAUAAUAUAUUGAACCGCAUGGUUCAAUAGUGAAAGACGGUUUUGCUGUCACUUAUAGAUGGAUCCGCGCCGCAUUAGCUAGUUGGUAAGGUAACGGCUUACCAAGGCAACGAUGCGUAGCCGACCUGAGAGGGUGAUCGGCCACACUGGAACUGAGACACGGUCCAGACUCCUACGGGAGGCAGCAGUAGGGAAUCUUCCGCAAUGGGCGAAAGCCUGACGGAGCAACGCCGCGUGAGUGAUGAAGGUCUUCGGAUCGUAAAACUCUGUUAUUAGGGAAGAACAAAUGUGUAAGUAACUAUGCACGUCUUGACGGUACCUAAUCAGAAAGCCACGGCUAACUACGUGCCAGCAGCCGCGGUAAUACGUAGGUGGCAAGCGUUAUCCGGAAUUAUUGGGCGUAAAGCGCGCGUAGGCGGUUUUUUAAGUCUGAUGUGAAAGCCCACGGCUCAACCGUGGAGGGUCAUUGGAAACUGGAAAACUUGAGUGCAGAAGAGGAAAGUGGAAUUCCAUGUGUAGCGGUGAAAUGCGCAGAGAUAUGGAGGAACACCAGUGGCGAAGGCGACUUUCUGGUCUGUAACUGACGCUGAUGUGCGAAAGCGUGGGGAUCAAACAGGAUUAGAUACCCUGGUAGUCCACGCCGU
Molecule: ribosomal RNA, 769 nt
Filed under: Staphylococcus epidermidis
Lineage: Bacteria; Bacillati; Bacillota; Bacilli; Caryophanales; Staphylococcaceae
Description: bacterial SSU rRNA
Rfam family: Bacterial small subunit ribosomal RNA
Source: RNAcentral